GGUGAACGCUGGCGGCGUGCCUAAUACAUGCCAGUCGAGCGAACGGACGAGAAGCUUGCUUCUCUGAUGUUAGCGGCGGACGGGUGAGUAACACGUGGAUAACCUACCUAUAAGACUGGGAUAACUUCGGGAAACCGGAGCUAAUACCGGAUAAUAUUUUGAACCGCAUGGUUCAAAAGUGAAAGACGGUCUUGCUGUCACUUAUAGAUGGAUCCGCGCUGCAUUAGCUAGUUGGUAAGGUAACGGCUUACCAAGGCAACGAUGCAUAGCCGACCUGAGAGGGUGAUCGGCCACACUGGAACUGAGACACGGUCCAGACUCCUACGGGAGGCAGCAGUAGGGAAUCUUCCGCAAUGGGCGAAAGCCUGACGGAGCAACGCCGCGUGAGUGAUAAAGGUCUUCGGAUCGUAAAACUCUGUUAUUAGGGAAGAACAUAUGUGUAAGUAACUGUGCACAUCUUGACGGUACCUAAUCAGAAAGCCACGGCUAACUACGUG
RNAcentral lists this ribosomal RNA (497 nucleotides) under uncultured bacterium. RNAcentral describes it as "partial 16S ribosomal RNA". It matches the Rfam family "Bacterial small subunit ribosomal RNA", at positions 28 to 507 of the family's 1533-position model. The record is from RNAcentral.